Long non-coding RNA from Suricata suricatta (meerkat), 394 nucleotides. RefSeq lists it as uncharacterized. The record is from RefSeq and is a predicted model, not a curated record. The transcript is spliced from 2 exons. Lineage: Eukaryota; Metazoa; Chordata; Mammalia; Carnivora; Herpestidae.
UGGGGGCCACGGGGCGGUUCCACGAGUCGGGAGCGUGCCUGCAAGGGUCCACAGCGCGCGUUACAGGCAGCGAGCAGGGGGUCCACCAGUGCGCAUGCUCCUCCCCGCCCUGAGUCUCGGCUCCGCCCCUCAGCCGGGGUUGGUCCGGGGCGGGGAGCUCCAAGCUCAAGGCCUCCCAGGUGCACCCUUCUCUUGUGGAGAUGGGAGAGCAAAGAGAACACUGGGCCUCCUGGCAGAUGACCUGUGAUCCACCUGGGUGCCGCAGCGUGUGCCUCAGGCAAGGUCAAGUCUCUGACCCUCGGGCUUCUCAUCUGCAAAAAGGAUGUGGUAACACCUCCUCUACUAUCUCACAAGUUUGAAGUGAGAACGUAAUAAAUAACUGCCCAAGAGCUUC